GGGUUUCCAUUUUCACUUAAACUACUACAUAACAAAAUAAUUUCUAGUCAAAUCUAUUUGGUGCCAUGAGUAAUUAUUCUAUUUCAAGGAUAUCAUGAUUUUUCAAGACCACAAAUAUUAAUUAACAAACUGAUAUGAUUGCAAAGUCUGUUCUUAUAAAUUCAUUAACUUAAGAACUGAUGAUUCUACCCCAUCCUCUGACAAUUUAAUCUAAAAAAAAUAUUUUAUUGUAUUUUACAUUUAAAUAAAAUUAUUUUGAAAAUAAAAAACACAAAAGUUUGCUUACACGCUAUUUAUUCACCUAGUCAAUUCAAAUAUGUAAUAAUACAUGUACCUUCAUUUGCUACUUUGGUAGAUGAGUGGUCAAAUUUCAGACAUUUUGGUUUCUUAGAUAUUUCCAACUAAUGGAAAGACGUACUUUCUUUUUUGUCAUAAAAGACAAAUACAAGGGGAGUUUUGAAAUUAAAUAAUACUUGAAAAUCAUC
Molecule: long non-coding RNA, 485 nt
Filed under: Mytilus galloprovincialis (Mediterranean mussel)
Lineage: Eukaryota; Metazoa; Mollusca; Bivalvia; Mytilida; Mytilidae
Source: RNAcentral